This 864-nucleotide ribosomal RNA is filed under the name Pseudomonas sp. VP4. Its description in RNAcentral is "bacterial SSU rRNA". It matches the Rfam family "Bacterial small subunit ribosomal RNA", at positions 78 to 939 of the family's 1533-position model. Lineage: Bacteria; Pseudomonadati; Pseudomonadota; Gammaproteobacteria; Pseudomonadales; Pseudomonadaceae. The record is from RNAcentral.
CGCUUGCUCCUGAUGUGCGGCGGACGGGUGAGUAUGCCUAGGAUCUGCCUGGUAGUGGGGGAAACGAUCCGAAAGGAACGCUAAUACCGCAUACGUCCUACGGGAGAAAGCAGGGGACCUUCGGGCCUUGCGCUAUCAGAUGAGCCUAGGUCGGAUUAGCUAGUUGGUGAGGUAAUGGCUCACCAAGGCGACGAUCCGUAACUGGUCUGAGAGGAUGAUCAGUCACACUGGAACUGAGACACGGUCCAGACUCCUACGGGAGGCAGCAGUGGGGAAUAUUGGACAAUGGGCGAAAGCCUGAUCCAGCCAUGCCGCGUGUGUGAAGAAGGUCUUCGGAUUGUAAAGCACUUUAAGUUGGGAGGAAGGGCAGUAAGUUAAUACCUUGCUGUUUUGACGUUACCGACAGAAUAAGCACCGGCUAACUUCGUGCCAGCAGCCGCGGUAAUACGAAGGGUGCAAGCGUUAAUCGGAAUUACUGGGCGUAAAGCGCGCGUAGGUGGUUCGUUAAGUUGGAUGUGAAAGCCCCGGGCUCAACCUGGGAACUGCAUCCAAAACUGGCGAGCUAGAGUACGGUAGAGGGUGGUGGAAUUUCCUGUGUAGCGGUGAAAUGCGUAGAUAUAGGAAGGAACACCAGUGGCGAAGGCGACCACCUGGACUGAUACUGACACUGAGGUGCGAAAGCGUGGGGAGCAAACAGGAUUAGAUACCCUGGUAGUCCACGCCGUAAACGAUGUCAACUAGCCGUUGGAAUCCUUGAGAUUUUAGUGGCGCAGCUAACGCAUUAAGUUGACCGCCUGGGGAGUACGGCCGCAAAGUUAAAACUCAAAUUGAGUUGAACGGGGGGCCCGCCCAAGCGGGUGGAAG